GGUACGGUGGCUCGACAGGUAAGGCAUCGGCCUCAUAAGCCGAGGGUUCGUCCCAAUCCUGGUUCAAAUCCAGGUCGUACCUCCA
Molecule: transfer RNA, 85 nt
Filed under: Caulobacter virus Karma
Lineage: Duplodnaviria; Heunggongvirae; Uroviricota; Caudoviricetes; Jeanschmidtviridae
Also listed under: 4 other names
Description: tRNA-Met
Rfam family: tRNA
About the family: Transfer RNA (tRNA) molecules are approximately 80 nucleotides in length.
Source: RNAcentral